Molecule: ribosomal RNA, 571 nt
Filed under: uncultured delta proteobacterium
Lineage: Bacteria; Deltaproteobacteria
Description: bacterial SSU rRNA
Rfam family: Bacterial small subunit ribosomal RNA
Source: RNAcentral
AGCUCAGGCACGAUGGUUAGCUGGUCUGAGAGGAUGAUCAGCCACACUGGAACUGACACACGGUCCAGACUCCUACGGGAGGCAGCAGUGAGGAAUUUUGCGCAAUGGGGGAAACCCUGACGCAGCAACGCCGCGUGAGUGAUGAAGGCCUUCGGGUCGUAAAGCUCUGUCAAGUGGGAAGAAACUAUAUGUGGCCAAUACCCAUAUGUACUGACGGUACCACUGAAGGAAGCACCGGCUAACUCCGUGCCAGCAGCCGCGGUAAUACGGGGGGUGCAAGCGUUAUUCGGAAUUAUUGGGCGUAAAGAGCGCGUAGGCGGCCAGUUAAGUCAGAUGUGAAAGCCCGGGGCUCAACCCCGGAAGUGCAUUUGAAACUAAUUGGCUUGAGUAUGGGAGAGGGAAGUGGAAUUCCAGGUGUAGAGGUGAAAUUCGUAGAUAUCUGGAGGAACACCAGUGGCGAAGGCGGCCAACUGGCCUGUUACUGACACUCAGGGACGAAAGCGUGGGGAGCGAACCGGAUUAGAUACCCGGGUAGUCCACGCCCUAAACGAUGGAUGCUAGAUGGCCGGAG